RNAcentral lists this ribosomal RNA (301 nucleotides) under uncultured bacterium. Its description in RNAcentral is "partial 16S ribosomal RNA". It matches the Rfam family "Bacterial small subunit ribosomal RNA", at positions 509 to 809 of the family's 1533-position model. The record is from RNAcentral.
CAGCAGCCGCGGGAAUACGAAGGGGGCUAGCGUUGCUCGGAAUUACUGGGCGUAAAGGGAGCGUAGGCGGACAUUUAAGUCAGGGGUGAAAUCCCGGGGCUCAACCUCGGAAUUGCCUUUGAUACUGGGUGUCUUGAGUAUGAGAGAGGUAUGUGGAACUCCGAGUGUAGAGGUGAAAUUCGUAGAUAUUCGGAAGAACACCAGUGGCGAAGGCGACAUACUGGCUCAUUACUGACGCUGAGGCUCGAAAGCGUGGGGAGCGAACAGGAUUAGAUACCCGCGUAGUCCCUGUCUCUUAUAA